CUGCUGGGCCGGUGAAUCGAGAUGAAUUUUGUCAACUUGUACUCUGUGCUUUCGAGUGUUUGAGCUCUUGGGCCCUGUGACUGUGCUGAAAGUUCAAAAGGAAAUAAACUGAGAGAGACCGUGAAAUGAUUCUCUGACUGCUCAGAUCCCAGAGGAAGUGCCAGUUCCAUACCUAGCAGUGGAGCAGCACAACCACACUGUGCUUUUGGCACGCUGGAGACACGCCAGAGCUCUGAAAACACCUCCUGAUGGCAGCUGGAAAACAUCCAGUGGUCUAUGGACGUGGACUUACAAUAAUGAAAUUAAAUUGCUUUGUGCUGUCAGAGGGCAUGCUGGUGAUACUAGUGUGAGUUCAUGAAUAGCAGAUUGGAGCUGCUUCUGUAAGAAACUUUAAAGUUUACUUGGAAAAAAAGAAAAAGUUAUUAAAUAUCUCUUAAGCACAAAUGCAUAGCCUGGUGAUAGAGUCUCUGUGAGCAUUUCAAAGCCACUUGUUAAAAUGUGAGUUAAAUGGGUGCAGAAACAAAGUAACCUAAAACAAGGGAUUAUACAGUUCUCCUCCAGGCCUCCCCUCCUGGAGGAAUUCUAAUAUUUUACUACUCUCUAGCACUCCUAAUACAACAGUUGUGGCACUGGAGAAAAUCCCAGUUUUAAUGUCCCCACCAACAGAAGAUCAUGCCCUCUAAUUAUACAUUUUUAAUAUACCUUUGUCAGAUUUGUUAAUGAUAAGAAUUUUCUUUGCAUCACAGAAAAGACCUGCUGCCUGAAAUGAAGGGG
Molecule: long non-coding RNA, 774 nt
Filed under: Taeniopygia guttata (zebra finch)
Lineage: Eukaryota; Metazoa; Chordata; Aves; Passeriformes; Estrildidae
Description: lncRNA (ENSTGUG00000023961.1)
Source: RNAcentral